AUGACCGUGUCUCUUCAACAUAUUCAAAUAACAACGUUUCAACCCUCACUUUCUUGCGACAUCAACAACUACUUUGAUUGGCGUUCGUCUUCUGUAACAACAAAUGAAAAAACAAUAGUUAUGGCUCUGAAAAAUAGCAAGAAAGAAGAAGAAGAAGAAGAAGAAGAGUCAACAAAAAGAGAGGAUACAGAACUUUCUGUUUUCUUGUCAUCUUCAUCUUCUCGAAGAUGCACCAAACGAAUUUCGGUAGCAAAGAAGAAGAUGUGA
Vicia faba (fava bean) is the source of this 267-nucleotide non-coding RNA. Lineage: Eukaryota; Viridiplantae; Streptophyta; Magnoliopsida; Fabales; Fabaceae. The record is from the annotation of a GenBank genome assembly.